CCGGUGCUAAGGGAGGGGCUUUACGGAUCAGUAGUGGUGGGUAAGCCUACCAAGCCWAUGACGCCUAGCUGUCUGAGAGGAUGAUCAGCCACACUGACUGAGACACGGUCCAGACUCCUACGGAGGCAGCAGUGGGGAAUAUGCACAAUGGGGGAAACCUGAUGCAGCAACGCCGCGUGGAGGAUGACGCAUUUCGGUGUGUAAACUCCUUUUAUAUCCCAAGAUAAUGACGGUAGGAUAUGAAUAAGCACCGGCUAACUCCGUGCCAGCAGCCGCGGUAAUACGGAGGGUGCAAGCGUUACUCGGAAUCACUGGGCGUAAAGGAUGCGUAGGCGGAUAAUCAAGUCAAAAGUGAAAUCCUACGGCUUAACCGUAGAACUGCUUUCGAAACUGGUUAUCUAGAAUAUGGAAGAGGCAGAUGGAAUAGUGGUGUAGGGGUAAAAUCCGUAGAGAUCACUAGGAAUACCGAUUGCGAAGGCGAUCUGCUGGGACAUUAUUGACGCUGAGGCAUGAAAGCGUGGGGAGCAAACAGGAUUAGAUACCCUGGUAGUCCACGCCCUAAACGAUGCACACUAGUUGUUGCGAUGCUCGUCAUUGCAGUAAUACAGUUAACACAUUAAGUGUGCCGCCUGGGGAGUACGGUCGCAAGAUUAAAACUCAAAGGAAUAGACGGGGACCCGCACAAGCGGUGGAGCAUGUGGUUUAAUUCGAAGAUACGCGAAGAACCUUACCUAGACUUGAAAUCCUUGGAAUCUUGCAGAGAUGCGAGAGUGCUAGUUUACUAGAACCAAGUGACAGGUGCUGCACGGCUGUCGUCAGCUCGUGUCGUGAGAUGUUGGGUUAAGUCCCGCAACGAGCGCAACCCUCGUGAUUAGUUGCUAACAGUUCGGCUGAGCACUCUAAUCAGACUGCCUUCGUAAGGAGGAGGAAGGUGAGGACGACGUCAAGUCAUCAUGGCCCUUAUGUCUAGGGCUACACACGUGCUACAAUGGUUGGGACAAAGAGCAGCGAUACCGCGAGGUGGAGCAAAUCUUAAAACCCAAUCUCAGUUCGGAUUGGAGUCUGCAACUCGACUCCAUGAAGCUGGAAUCGCUAGUAAUCGUAGAUCAGCAAUGCUACGGUGAAUACGUUCCCGGGUCUUGUACUCACCGCCCGUCACACCAUGGGAGUUGAUUUCGCUCGAAGCCGGAAUACUAAAUUAGUACCGUCCACAGCG
Molecule: ribosomal RNA, 1216 nt
Filed under: Campylobacterota bacterium
Lineage: Bacteria; Pseudomonadati; Campylobacterota
Description: bacterial SSU rRNA
Source: RNAcentral